RNAcentral lists this ribosomal RNA (383 nucleotides) under uncultured Rhodoferax sp. Its description in RNAcentral is "bacterial SSU rRNA". It matches the Rfam family "Bacterial small subunit ribosomal RNA", at positions 420 to 795 of the family's 1533-position model. Lineage: Bacteria; Pseudomonadati; Pseudomonadota; Betaproteobacteria; Burkholderiales; Comamonadaceae. The record is from RNAcentral.
GGGUUGUAAACUGCUUUUGUACGGAACGAAACGGUUCGCCUUAAUACAUUGGGUUCCUGACGGUACCGUAAGAAUAAGCACCGGCUAACUACGUGCCAGCAGCCGCGGUAAUACGUAGGGUGCGAGCGUUAAUCGGAAUUACUGGGCGUAAAGCGUGCGCACGCGGUUAUAUAAGACAGAUGUGAAAUCCCCGGGCUCAACCUGGGACCUGCAUUUGUGACUGUAUAGCUAGAGUACGGUAGAGGGGGAUGGAAUUCCGCGUGUAGCAGUGAAAUGCGUAAAUAUGCGGAGGAACACCGAUGGCGAAGGCAAUCCCCUGGACCUGUACUGACGCUCAUGCACGAAAGCGUGGGGAGCAAACAGGAUUAGAUACCCUGGUAGAA